This 253-nucleotide ribosomal RNA is filed under the name uncultured bacterium. Its description in RNAcentral is "partial 16S ribosomal RNA". It matches the Rfam family "Bacterial small subunit ribosomal RNA", at positions 524 to 776 of the family's 1533-position model. The record is from RNAcentral.
UACGGAGGGUCCGAGCGUUAAUCGGAAUUACUGGGCGUAAAGCGCACGUAGGCGGAUUGUUAAGUUAGGGGUGAAAUCCUGGAGCUCAACUCCAGAACUGCCCUUAAUACUGGCAAUCUAGAGUCCGGAAGAGGUAAGUGGAACUCCUAGUGUAGAGGUGGAAUUCGUAGAUAUUAGGAAGAACACCAGUGGCGAAGGCGGCUUACUGGUCCGGUACUGACGCUGAGGUGCGAAAGCGUGGGGAGCAAACAGG